This 397-nucleotide ribosomal RNA is filed under the name uncultured bacterium. RNAcentral describes it as "partial 16S ribosomal RNA". It matches the Rfam family "Bacterial small subunit ribosomal RNA", at positions 523 to 918 of the family's 1533-position model. The record is from RNAcentral.
AUACGUAGGUGACAAGCGUUAUCCGGAUUUACUGGGUGUAAAGGGCGUGUAGGCGGUUUAGCAAGUCAGAAGUGAAAUUCCCGGGCUUAACUUGGGCGCUGCUUCUGAAACUGCUUUACUUGAGUGCUGGAGAGGAUAGUGGAAUUCCUAGUGUAGCGGUAAAAUGCGCAGAUAUUAGGAGGAACACCGGUGGCGAAGGCGGCUAUCUGGACAGUAACUGACGCUGAGGCGCGAAAGCACGGGGAGCAAACAGGAUUAGAUACCCUGGUAGUCCGUGCCGUAAACGAUGAAUACUAGGUGUAGGGGGUAUCGACUCCCUCUGUGCCGCAGUUAACACAUUAAGUAUUCCACCUGGGGAGUACGGCCGCAAGGUUGAAACUCAAAGGAAUUGGCGGGG